This 374-nucleotide ribosomal RNA is filed under the name uncultured organism. RNAcentral describes it as "partial 16S ribosomal RNA". It matches the Rfam family "Bacterial small subunit ribosomal RNA", at positions 525 to 896 of the family's 1533-position model. The record is from RNAcentral.
GGGAGGGGUGCAAGCGUUGUUCGGAAUUAUUGGGCGUAAAGAGCGUGUAGGCGGUCCGGUAAGUCAGAUGUGAAAGCCCUGGGCUCAACCCAGGAAGUGCAUUUGAAACUACCAGACUUGAGUACGGGAGAGGAGGGGGGAAUUCCCGGUGUAGAGGUGAAAUUCGUAGAUAUCGGGAGGAAUACCAGUGGCGAAGGCGCCCCUCUGGACCGAUACUGACGCUGAGACGCGAAAGCGUGGGGAGCAAACAGGAUUAGAUACCCUGGUAGUCCACGCCGUAAACGAUGAGCACUAGGUGUAGCGGGUAUUGACCCCUGCUGUGCCGUAGCUAACGCAUUAAGUGCUCCGCCUGGGGACUACGGUCGCAAAGACUA